CUCAAAUUUGAAAUCUGGCCCCCCUUCCGGGGGUCCCAGUUGUAAUUGGGAGAGGAUGCUUCGGGUGCGGUGCCCAUCUAAGUGCCCUGGAACGGGCCGUCAUAGAGGGUGAGAAUCCCGUCUGGGAUGGGCGGCCGCGCCCGUGUGAAGCUCCUUCGACGAGUCGAGUUGUUUGGGAACGAAGCUCUAAGUGGGAGGUAAAUUUCUUCUAAAGCUAAAUAGCUGGCCAGAGACCGAUAGCGCACAAGUAGAGUGAUCGAAAGAUGAAAAGCACUUUGGAAAGAGAGUUAAAAAGCACGUGAAAUUGUUGAAAGGGAAGCGCUUGCAGCCAGACUUGCCUGUAGUUGCUCAUCCGGGUUUCUACCCGGUGCACUCUUCUACGGGCAGGCCAGCAUCAGUUUGGGCGGUUGGAUAAAGGUCUCUGUCAUGUACCUCCUUUCGGGGAGACUUAUAGCGGGAGACGCCAUGCAGCCAGCCUGGACCGAGGACCGCGCUUCGGCGAGGAUGCUGGCGUAAUGGUGGUCAACGGCCCGUCUUGAAACACGGACCAAGGAGUCUAACAUCUAUGCGAGUGUUCGGGUGUCAAACCCGUCCGCGCAGUGAAAGCGAACGCCGGUGGGAACCCUUCACGGGGCGCACCAUCGACCGAUCCUGAUGUCUUCGGAUGGAUUUGAGUAAGAGCAUAGCUGUUGGGACCCGAAAGAUGGUGAACUAUGCCUGAAUAGGGCGAAGCCAGAGGAAACUCUGGUGGAGGCUCGCAGCGGUUCUGACGUGCAAAUCGAUCGUCAAAUUUGGGUAUAGGGGCG
This 806-nucleotide unclassified non-coding RNA is filed under the name Talaromyces basipetosporus. RNAcentral describes it as "Talaromyces sp. 1 ERA-2017a sequence contains 28S rRNA gene". It matches the Rfam family "Eukaryotic large subunit ribosomal RNA", at positions 108 to 925 of the family's 3401-position model. Lineage: Eukaryota; Fungi; Ascomycota; Eurotiomycetes; Eurotiales; Trichocomaceae. The record is from RNAcentral.